This is a long non-coding RNA of Aedes albopictus (Asian tiger mosquito), 363 nucleotides long. RefSeq lists it as uncharacterized. Lineage: Eukaryota; Metazoa; Arthropoda; Insecta; Diptera; Culicidae. The transcript has 2 exons. The record is from RefSeq and is a predicted model, not a curated record.
UGUUUGUGUAUUUUCUCUCCCCGUCAGAGGACCGAGAGAUUACGUUCAUCGUGGGAAAGCUCGGCAAUAUGCAGCUCAUCAUCGAUGGCCAUCUGUUUCAGCGCUCACAGGUACGCGAACGGAUCGUCAUCUGGAACUGCUCCCGCAGAAGAUUCGGAUGCAAAAGCCGCAUAAGCACGCUGCGUGGUAAGCCAGGAGUGGCGCACUCUUUCCGCGACGAGCACAAUCACGAGCGCAAAGACAACCUGAAGGGAAAGAACAUCAAAAUCAUCCGAAAGCAAACGCUGAAAAUUUUACGAUAGUUGGAAAGAUUUUUUGAUUUUCAUAAUGCCAAAAACGUCAAUAAAUAACAUUGAUCUACAA